Molecule: long non-coding RNA, 2111 nt
Organism: Nerophis ophidion (straightnose pipefish)
Lineage: Eukaryota; Metazoa; Chordata; Actinopteri; Syngnathiformes; Syngnathidae
Exons: 3
Source: RefSeq, a predicted model, not a curated record
UUUUGGGAUUACAACAGACAAUAUUUGUUCAUGAUGAUGCAACAGCGGGACGAUUACAGCAUGUUUGUGCUUCCACAGCCAGCAAUAAAACACGUUUUUCAAUGAUGUCAAUUUUCAGUCAUUCUUGUAAGACAAUUAUACCUCCCGCCCAGAGGUGGGUAGUAACGCGCUACAUUUACUCCGUUACAUUUACUUGAGUAACUUUUGGGAUAAAUUGUACUUCUACGAGUAGUUUUUAUGCAACAUACUUUUACUUUUACUUGAGUAUAUUUAUAGAGAAGAAACGCUACUUUUACUCCGUUCCAUUUAUCUACAAUCAGCUCGCUACUCGCUACUUUUUUUUUUAUCGAUCUAUUAAUGUUUGUUUUGGUUUAUGACAGAGCUUCAAAGUAGAAUCUACGCAUGCCUGCUUUUCACCAAUCACAUGCAGUCACUGGUGACGUUGGACCAAUCAAACAGAGCCAGGCGGUCACGUGACCCGACUUAAACAAGUUGAAAAACUUAUUGGGGUGUUACCAUUUAGUGGUCAACUGUACGGAAUAUGUACUGUACUGUGCAAUCUACUAAUAAAAGUUUCAAUAAAUCAAUCAAAAGUGUAAAGAAAAAAAGACACUUUUUAUUUCAACCGUACUUCCUGUCACAAGCCUAAAGACUGAUCGCACAGUUCCUGUCUUCACAAUAAAAGCGCCGCUCCAUCGCGCCUGCGCUAACAAUAUAAGAGUUUCCGAAAGCCAGCGCGAACAAGCUAGCAAACUACGGAGUUUGCCGCCAAUGUAUUUCUUGUAAAGUGUAUAAAAACGAAUAUGGAAGCUGGACAAAUAAGAUGCCAAAAACCAACGACUUUCAUGUGGUAUUGGACAGAAAAGAGGAACUUUUUUUUCCUUCCAUUUGAAAACAUGGACGUUAUCAUCAAUACUGUCUGAUUCCAAUCAAUGCAAGUCAUCAGAAUCAGCCCACGACGUCUGAGACAUGCUUGACCUACGACGUCAUAAACAGCGACUUACUGAAGACGCUAACACCGCAUUCGACUGACCGCCACUGUCGGCGAUCUCGGGUCAGCAUGGCCACACCUCAACGUGAUGAACAUGAUUCGGACUUUUCGACCACAUAAAAUUGGCGUCACGAACAGGAUGAGGCCCCGGGUUCAACCCCAGAAUUUCCUACCACAUAAAAUCUACCUCAGUGGACCUCAUGACACUCUGGCUUACAUUUCAAAGGCAAGUGAGAAAAAUGAAGUUGAUGUCAGUGAUGUCACUGUAAUGUGUCCAUCCAUCCAUCCGUUUUUCUACCGCUUAUUCCCUAAUGGGGUCGCUGGCGCCUAUCUCAGCUACAAUCGGGCGGAAGGCGGGGUACACCCUGGACAAGUCGCAACCUCAUCACAGGGCACAAUACAUAAAAUACUCUAAUCUACAAAAAAAAAAAUGAAUAAAACAGUUCAUGCUGAUUUUUAAUCAAAAUUAAGUCAGUAUUAAAGUGGAAUUUUGCCUAUCGUGUCACGACAGGAAAACUGUCCAAAAGUUAAAGCAACGGAACAAAAACUUUACAAUUGGGAAGUAAUUUGAUACUAAUUUUAUACACUUUUUCCAACAAACUCAUCAUUCACACCUGUAAUAUUUAAAGAAAUGAGUUUGUUUUAUACAAAAGCAAAAAACCAGUGAAAUUACCACCUCGUAAAUGCUAAAUAAAAAGAAUAGAACAAAUCCUUUUCAACUUAUAUUCAAUUGAAUAGACUGCAGAGGCAAGAUACUUAAUGUUCGAACUGAGAAACGUAUUUUUUUAACCACACUCAGUGCAGGUUUGGGAACUGAGGAGACACGAUUUUGAAGUGGAAUUCUUUCCCAUUCUUGCUUGAUGUACAGCUUAAGUUGUUCAACAGUCUCCCGCCUCAUAUUUUAGCCUUCACACAUUUUCAAUGUCUGGACUACAGGCAAGCCAGUCUAGUACCCGCACUCUUUUACUAUGAAGCCACGCUGUUGUAACACGUGGUUCGGCAUUAUCUUGCUGAAAUAAGCAGGGGCGUCCAUGAUAACGUUGCUUGGAUGGCAACAUAUGUUGCUCCAAAAGCUGUAUGUACCUUUCAGCAUUAAUGGUGCCUUCACAGAUGUGUAAGU